UUUAAUUAUCUCAAUUUUCCUCAAUAUAUAUUUUUCUAAAAAAAUUAAUAUUUUAUUCAUGUAUAAAACUUUCAUUCCUCAAGAUUAUAAAGAAAAAGAAGGAGUCAAUGCACAAGGAUAACUUUACCUAGGAAGGAAAAGGUCCAUGUUCAAGAAAAGAUACCAGUUCAUUUCUAGACGUCAUAUUUAAAUCGCUUUACGAGUCCGGAGAAUAUUCGGAGGCAGAUAUUCGUGAUGAAAUAAAUACAAUGGUUUUUGCAGGAAGUGAUACUGCCGCUAAU
Molecule: long non-coding RNA, 281 nt
Filed under: Polistes fuscatus (common paper wasp)
Lineage: Eukaryota; Metazoa; Arthropoda; Insecta; Hymenoptera; Vespidae
Description: uncharacterized LOC122522205
Source: RNAcentral